AUGUUGAACGCAAAUGUGAUCCGUCACUGUGGGUGAUCCGUAACUGUGUGGGCAUGGUACCAAAAAUUAUUACACUUGACAGUUAAAGUUAGCCAUAACCCUAGACACAAAACGAACGUAUCAUUUUUCCCCUGAAGAAGACGCCAUACCAGCGUCGAAACGUCGGGUUAAAUAAUAAAACUCGUUUUUAAC
Molecule: long non-coding RNA, 192 nt
Organism: Aedes aegypti (yellow fever mosquito)
Lineage: Eukaryota; Metazoa; Arthropoda; Insecta; Diptera; Culicidae
Exons: 2
Source: RefSeq, a predicted model, not a curated record